AAUAGAUACCCUGGUAGUCCACGCCGUAAACGAUGUCGACUUGGAGGUUGUGCCCUUGAGGGCGUGGCUUCCGGAGCUAACGCGUUAAGUCGACCGCCUGGGGAGUACGGCCGCAAGGUUAAAACUCAAAUGAAUUGACGGGGGGCCCGCACAAGCGGUGGAGCAUGUGGUUUAAUUCGAUGCAACGCGAAGAACCUUACCUACUCUUGACAUCCAGAGAACUUAGCAGAGAUGCUUUGGUGCCUUCGGGAACUCUGAGACAGGUGCUGCAUGGCUGUCGUCAGCUCGUGUUGUGAAAUGUUGGGUUAAGUCCCGCAACGAGCGCAACCCUUAUCCUUUGUUGCCAGCGAUUCGGUCGGGAACUCAAAGGAGACUGCCAGUGAAUAAACUGGAGGAAGGUGGGGAUGACGUCAAGUCAUCAUGGCCCUUACGAGUAGGGCUACACACGUGCUACAAUGGCAUAUACAAAAGAGAAGCGACCUCGCGAGAGCAAGCGGACCUCAUAAAGUAUGUCGUAGUCCGGAUUGG
This 528-nucleotide ribosomal RNA is filed under the name uncultured bacterium. RNAcentral's name for it is "bacterial SSU rRNA". It matches the Rfam family "Bacterial small subunit ribosomal RNA", at positions 777 to 1301 of the family's 1533-position model. The record is from RNAcentral.